Molecule: long non-coding RNA, 251 nt
Filed under: Bos indicus x Bos taurus (hybrid cattle)
Lineage: Eukaryota; Metazoa; Chordata; Mammalia; Artiodactyla; Bovidae
Description: lncRNA (ENSBIXG00000019856.1)
Source: RNAcentral
CAGCUAUGAAGCUCCAGGACCUGGGAAGGGGCAACUGAGGAGGUCUCUUGACUGGUUUCCAGUUCCUCUUCAUUAUGGUUCUGAACAGCUGAACUUAGGCUCUGAAGUGCUAUUUUCCCAGUCUUCUCAGAAACAUGAUGACUUUAUCAGAGAUUAUGGAUGGAAGGCUCAAUUGUCACUGAGCUAGAUGGAGCCAGAAAUGACUUGGAUUUCAAGUAGAAUUGAAGAAUUUCUUUUGGAACCAAUGACAG